CCCAGAUCCAAGAGGAUUAAUAUCCUUAUAAGAAUAGACACCAGAUCUCUCUCUCUCUCUCUCUCCCUCUAUGUGUGUGUGUGAGCACGCACGUGUACAGAAAGGCCAUUUGAGCACACAGCAAGAAGGCAACUGUCUACAAGCCAGGAAGAGAGCCUUCACUAGAUACUGACCAUGCUGACAUCUUGAUCUUGGACUUCCCAGACUCCAGAACUGCACACAUCAAGGAAAGGCUGUGUGAGGACACAGGGAGAAAGCAUCAUCUACAAACCAGGAAGAGAGCCCUUACUAGAAACCUAAC
This 301-nucleotide long non-coding RNA is filed under the name Homo sapiens (human). RNAcentral describes it as "HSALNT0399764". The record is from RNAcentral. Lineage: Eukaryota; Metazoa; Chordata; Mammalia; Primates; Hominidae.